GAUAUAAUAGCCGACCUCCGGCCCAGAACUCGAGACAACGACAGGGGCUCGCUCUGUGCGGCACUUCCUGUGUCUGCGCGGGAUGAUAACGCAUAAAACAGCGCUUGCUCAGGUCCAGGACGCCAGAAGAAACAGCCCGGUGAGCGCACUUCCGACUUCGGCGCGGGCUGUGACGCAGGAAUCGGGACUCCGGAGGAGCGACGCCCACUUUUGGAGCAGUUUGCGCCUGCGCGGAACGCGUGGCCGGCUUCCGGAAUCCUACCGGGACUUUUCCGGUAGCGAAGCCCGCGCCUGUGCCAAGGCUUGCGAGCAGAAUGCCUUCGCGAUGGACGCCCGCAUUCCACCCCCUUGACCGCUGGGACCCCUAGUGGCGGGUGGGUGGAGCGCGCUCCAUUUACCUGCUGGUUACCUCGUGAGGCGCCUCAGGUCUGUGUGUCUUGUAAAGGCCGAUCUCGGAAUUUAACUCUGAACCUUACUCAGAAACAGGGCAGGGAGAGCUCUUACGAUGUGAUUUUAUUUUAUUUAUUCAUGUAUUUACUUUUGAGUCGGAGCCUUGCUCUGCCGCCCAGGUUGGAGUGCAGUGGCGUGGUCUUGGCUCACUGCAGCCUCCUCCCGGGUUCAAGGAAUUUUCCUGCCUCAGCCUCCCGAGUAGCUGGAACCACAGGCCCGCGCCACCACGCCCGGCUAAUUUUUAUAUUUUUGGUAGAGACGAGGUUUCGCCAUAUUGGCCAGGCUGGUCUCGAACUCCUGACCUCAAGUGAUCCGCCCGCUUCGUCCUCCUAAAGUGCUGGGAUUACAGGCGUGAGCCACCGCGCCCGGCCUUUUACAAUGUGAUUUUGAAGCUGACACUGGCAGUGGGUCCUCAAAGUGCAGACUCACUGGGUAUGGUGCUUCCCCCAACUCCCAGGGCCCCACUCCAAACCCAUGGAUUCAGAGCAUUGCAGGAGAAGAGGAUAAAACGAGCAAUUAAUUCCCUUUCCAUAUGUCAGGUUUUCCUCUUGACUUGAAAAGUCACAGAAAAAUGCUUUAGACAUCUGAAUCUCAGGAAACAAACAAUGGAAGAUAAACAUCCGCAUUUACUGGGCCUGAAAUGGGAAAAUGAAAGAUGUGGCAAGAAACUGACAAGGGCCCAAGAAGGGCGAUGGGUAUCGGAAUUUUUUUCAUCCCGGAAUGAAAUGCUGCUUGCUUUGUGUACCCAAGCUCUUUUUUUAUUUUUAUUUUUUUGAGACGGAGUCUCGCUCUGUUGCCCAGGCUGGAGUGCAGUGGCGCGAUCUCGGGUCACUGGAAGCUCCGCCACCCGGGUUCACGCCAUUCUCCCGCCUCCACUCCAUUCGCCCGCAUUAGGCUCCUGAGUACCUGUGACUACAGGCGCCUGCCACCAUGCCCGGCUAAUUUUUUUUUUAUUUUGGGUAGAGACGGGGUUUUACCGUGUUAGCCAGGAUGGUCUCAAUCUCCUGACCUCGUGAUCAGCCUGCCUCUGCCUCCCAAAGUGCUGGGAUUACAGGCGUGAGCCACCGCGCCUGGCCUCCCCCAAGCUCUUAAUGUUGCUUCCUGAGUUCUUGGUAACUGGGGAAAUCUCCCUAUUUUUUUAUUUUUAUUUUUUUUUGAGACGGAGUCUUGCUCUGUCGCCCAGGCUGGAGUGCAGUGGCGCAAUCUCGGCUCACUGCAAGCCCCACCUCCCGGGUUCAACGCCAUUAUCCUGCGAGCCUCAGCCUCCCGAGUAGCUGGGACUACAGGCGUCCACCACUACGCCCGGCUAAUUUUUUUGUGUUUUUAGUUGAGAUGGGGUUUCACUGUAUUAGCCAGGAUGGUCUUGAUCUCAUGACCUUGUGAUCUGCCUGCCUUGGCCUCCCAAAGGGUUGGGAUUACAGGCGUGAGCCACAGCACGUUUUUUUCUGUUUUGAGAAAAAGUCUCGCUGUGUCACCCAGGCUGGAGUGCAGUGGCACAAUUUUGGGUAACUGCAGCCUCCGCCUCCUGGGUACAAGUGAUUCUCCUGCCUCAGCCUCCCGAGUAGCUGGGAUUAUAGGCGUGCGCCACCACACCUGGCUAACUUUUGUAUUUUUAGUAGCGACAGGAUUUUGCCAUGUUGGCCAGGCUGGUCUUGAACUCCUGACCUAAAGUAUCUGCCCACCAGCCUCCCACAGUGCUGAAAUUAUAGUCAUGAGCCACCGUGCCCGGCCAAAAAUCUCCAGUUUACCCUUCCUUUGUGAAAUCUGUGAGUACCCAAAUGCAGCCACUCAUGUCAAACCCUAACAAAAUCGACCCCAGAGCCCACGAGGAGGGGGUGGCCUCGCACUUGCGCUUGAUAGGAGCUGCCACAAAGGCCUUUCCCAACCAGAACUUUGGGUUCAGCCACUUCUGUGAAGAGCCUCUUUGCUAGCAACAGCCAGCCCCACCGGUGAACAAAGUAGCAUGAACACCAGAGUUCCACAAGGAAGAAAACAAAGCAGUCCAUAUUUAACAUUUAUUUUACUUUGCUGAGCAAGAAUCAUAGACAGCUACUACCACGGCUGCUUCGUUUGGACAAAAAUAACGAGGAGGCAUCCACGGGAUUAGUUACACGGUAUCAACUUACCACCACAGCAGAAUCAACAGUGACUCGCUAAUUAACAGAACCGUUUGCUAGAAAGCACUAAUCUAGUUAUAUAAAUACUGAAAUAGGUCACAUGCAAAACACUAUAAACGUUUUGUGUGAUGU
Molecule: long non-coding RNA, 2699 nt
Filed under: Homo sapiens (human)
Lineage: Eukaryota; Metazoa; Chordata; Mammalia; Primates; Hominidae
Description: HSALNT0289736
Source: RNAcentral